CCCACCUGGUCCCAGCUAUAAAGCUUAAUCUUGAACACAAAGGCUCUUUCAACAGCGCCCUGCACAGCUUGAAGAUGAACUCCAUGUGCCUCCUAAUCCUCUCUUCAAACUUGGCAACAGUCAGUGGCGUCAAAGGGAAUCCAGCUAUGAACUAAACAGAAGCUGAUCAUGUUAUAUAUGUCUAUAAAUUUGGGCUCUACACCAGCAUCAAAUAUGUGGGGCUAUAUUUAGCCAACUUAGAGUGAUGAAAGGAAGGCCACAAGAUUUGAAGAGAUGCAGACCAAGUCCUAAUAUUAACCUCCUGUAUCGAUGUCAACAACCACUAACCUCUAGACUUCUUGUUAUGGGAAAAA
This is a non-coding RNA of Heterocephalus glaber (naked mole-rat), 353 nucleotides long. The record is from RefSeq and is a predicted model, not a curated record. NCBI's taxonomy places the organism in Eukaryota, Metazoa, Chordata, Mammalia, Rodentia, Bathyergidae.